CGGCGAGUGAAGCGGCAACAGCUCAAAUUUGAAAUCUGGCGUCUUUGGCGUCCGAGUUGUAAUUUGCAGAGGGCGCUUUGGCAUUGGCAGCGGUCCAAGUUCCUUGGAACAGGACGUCACAGAGGGUGAGAAUCCCGUACGUGGUCGCUAGCCUUUACCGUGUAAAGCCCCUUCGACGAGUCGAGUUGUUUGGGAAUGCAGCUCUAAAUGGGAGGUAAAUUUCUUCUAAAGCUAAAUACUGGCCAGAGACCGAUAGCGCACAAGUAGAGUGAUCGAAAGAUGAAAAGCACUUUGGAAAGAGAGUUAAAAAGCACGUGAAAUUGUUGAAAGGGAAGCGCUUGCAGCCAGACUUGCCUGUAGUUGCUCAUCCGGGUUUCUACCCGGUGCACUCUUCUAUAGGCAGGCCAGCAUCAGUUUGGGCGGUUGGAUAAAGGUCUCUGUCAUGUACCUCCUUUCGGGGAGAACUUAUAGGGGAGACGACAUGCAACCAGCCUGGACUGAGGUCCGCGCAUCUGCUAGGAUGCUGGCGUAAUGGCUGUAAGCGGCCCGUCUUGAAACACGGACCAAGGAGUCUAACAUCUAUG
This 584-nucleotide ribosomal RNA is filed under the name Pleosporales sp. RNAcentral describes it as "partial large subunit ribosomal RNA". It matches the Rfam family "Eukaryotic large subunit ribosomal RNA", at positions 87 to 686 of the family's 3401-position model. Lineage: Eukaryota; Fungi; Ascomycota; Dothideomycetes; Pleosporales. The record is from RNAcentral.